RNAcentral lists this ribosomal RNA (460 nucleotides) under uncultured bacterium. Its description in RNAcentral is "partial 16S ribosomal RNA". It matches the Rfam family "Bacterial small subunit ribosomal RNA", at positions 338 to 795 of the family's 1533-position model. The record is from RNAcentral.
CCUACGGGAGGCAGCAGUGAGGAAUAUUGGUCAAUGGACGAAAGUCUGAACCAGCCAAGUAGCGUGAAGGAUGACUGCCCUAUGGGUUGUAAACUUCUUUUAUAAAGGAAUAAAACGAGGCACGUGUGCCUUUUUGCAUGUACUUUAUGAAUAAGGAUCGGCUAACUCCGUGCCAGCAGCCCCGGUCAUAAGGAGGAUCAGAUCGUUCUCCGGGUUUAUUGGGUUUAAAUGGAACGUAGAUGGGUUGUUCAGUCAGUUGUGAAAGUUUGCGGCUCAAACGUGGAAUUGCCAUUGAUACUGGGAGUCUUGAGUACAGGUGAGGUAGGCGGAAUUCGUGGUGUAGCGGUGAAAUGCUUAGAUAUCACGAAGAACCCCGAUUGCGAAGGCAGCUUACUAAACUGUGACUGACAUUGAUGCUCGAAAGUGUGGGUAUCAAACAGGAUUAGAUACCCGUGUAGUC